UAGGACAAGUUGCUCGCCAAGUGC
This 24-nucleotide non-coding RNA is filed under the name Arabidopsis thaliana (thale cress). Lineage: Eukaryota; Viridiplantae; Streptophyta; Magnoliopsida; Brassicales; Brassicaceae. The record is from RNAcentral.